Molecule: transfer RNA, 68 nt
Filed under: Priassus spiniger
Lineage: Eukaryota; Metazoa; Arthropoda; Insecta; Hemiptera; Pentatomidae
Description: tRNA-Ala
Source: RNAcentral
GGGGUUAUAGUUAUAAUAAUAACAUUUAAUUUGCAAUUAAAAAAUACUAUAAAAAAUAGUUAUCCUCA